GCUUACUUGGAGAGGGCAUCCAUGGCGUUGAGGUCCUCGUACGCGGAGAGGAGGCGCGCGACGGUGGACUCCUCGGCGGCGCGGGUCCACAUGCGGGGAUCGUAGUACUUCUUGUUGGGCUUCUCGGGGCCCUCGGGGUUGCCGAUCUGGCCCUGGAGGUAGGGCUCGUACUUCUCGACGUACUCGCGGACGCCGUCCCACAUGGACCACUGGGUGUCAGUGUCGAUGUUCAUCUUCAUGACGCCGUAGCCGAUGGCCUCGCGGAUGUCCUCGCGGGAGGAGCCGGAGCCGCCGUGGAAGACGAAGUUGACGGGCUUGUCGGUGUCGAGGCCCUCCUUCUCCUUGAUGUACUUCUGUGCGGCGCCGAGGAUGGAAGGGGUGAGCUUCACGUUGCCGGGGGAGUACACGCCGUGCACGUUGCCGAAGGCGGCGGCGACGGAGAACAUGCCGGGGGCAACCUUGUUGAGCUCGGUGUACACCUGGUGGAUCUCCUCGGGCUUGGAGUAGAGGUCCUCCUGGGCGACGUCGGUGUUGUCGACGCCAUCCUCCUCGCCGCCGGUGAUGCCGAUCUCAACCUCGAGGAAGCAGUUGAUCUUCGCCAUGCGCUCGAGGUACUUCUUGGAGAUCUCCAUGUUCUCCUCGAUGGACUCCUCGGAGAGGUCGAGCAUGUGGGAGGUGAAGAGGGGCUCGCCGUGCUUGGCGAAGUACUCCUCGUUGGCCUCGAGGAGGCCGUCGAACCAGGGGAGGAGGCUCUUGGCACAGUGGUCGGUGUGGAGGAUGAUGGGGACGCCGUAGAACUCAGCGAGGGCGCGGACGUGGAGGGCACCGGCGACGCAGCCCAUGAUGGCCGCCUUCUGGUCCUUCUCGUUCUUCCAGCCCUUGCCGGCGUUGUAGGCGCCACCGCCGUUGGAGAACUGGAUGAUCAUGGGGGAGUUGGCCUUCUUGGCCGCCUCGAGGCACGCGUUGGUCACGGUGGACAUGGUGCAGUUGACGGCGGGGAUGGCGUAGCCGUUCUUGAUGGCGUGGUCGACGACAGCCUUGUAGUCAUCGCCGGUCACGACGCCAGCCUUGAGGCCCUGAUGUUCGUCGAGAAGGGGGGGGGGAUCGGAGGUCAGUCCGGGUGUCUCGGUGUUUUUUUUUCCGCGGGGAAAAGAGGACCAAAACAGACCGUCGUCCGGGGUUCCGGAAGGGGCGAUAUUUUCCCCCUCCCGGUGAUCGGUCGAUAACCCCACGCGGCGGGGUCGCGAUCUGGCCGCGGGAGGCGCUUCGGGUGCGUCGAUCGAGCCGGAGCGUUCAUCAAACCAUCUGGGAAGAUAACGCGGGCGCGCGGGCGGGGAAUUCACCCGCGCGCGCGCCGUCGCGCCACCUAUCCAGCGGCGGAUAAGAGACCCAGACCCUUUCCCGGCUCGGGUGAAGGAAAAAAAACUCGAUGCGCCAAUUCCCGGGACCCUCCGCGCUCGGCGUCGCGCGCGCGCGAUGACGACGCGGCGGCGGGUCGCGCGGAUGACGCGCGGACGCGUCCUCGCGAGUUAUCUCGCGCGUGCGGC
This 1547-nucleotide long non-coding RNA is filed under the name Micromonas commoda. Its description in RNAcentral is "long non-coding RNA (MCOM_LNC000299)". The record is from RNAcentral. Lineage: Eukaryota; Viridiplantae; Chlorophyta; Mamiellophyceae; Mamiellales; Mamiellaceae.